This is a long non-coding RNA of Bactrocera tryoni, 1176 nucleotides long. RefSeq lists it as uncharacterized. The record is from RefSeq and is a predicted model, not a curated record. Lineage: Eukaryota; Metazoa; Arthropoda; Insecta; Diptera; Tephritidae. The transcript is spliced from 3 exons.
UGCCGAGAAUCAGUAAUAAACAAAAUCUUUUGAACUUAUUGGAAGUAGCAGCGUUAAAUGAUUUAAUGAUUAUUGAAUUCUUUUGUGAGGACAAUGAAGAGAGGAAAAGUAAAGAAGAUGAAAUAAUGGAGGACCUGAUGCAUGUAUUGGCUUUAGAAUACAGAUACAGCGUACAAUUUAUUCAAAAUAGUGUAUCGAAAUCCAGGGCAUAUUUAAAUGAAUUCUGAUGGGAACUUGAUGAAACCCGAUUCAAGAAGAUCACACGUGUCACUUGGAAAACUUUCGAUGCUAUUUUGGAUCUAAUAAAGGGAGACAAUAUUUUCAACAAAAUUCGGUCGGGCAAACAAAUUGCAAUUGUGUUGUAUCGCUUAGGCUCUAGCGAUGAAGGAGCUACUCUUUCGAAGAUUGCAGGUUUAUUUGGAAUCAGUGAUGGUGGUGUCAUUCAGAAUUUAACUGAACGAAUAUUUAAUGCGUUGUUGAAAUACAAGGACCAGUAUUUAUUUUGGCCAAAUACGGAAGAACACAAAAAGCUCGUUUUAGAAACUUAGAGUGAGUUACCUAACUGCAUAGGAUACGUUGAUGGUACCGAAAUUCCAUUGGCGGAAAAACCGUCACAGGACCCAGAAGCGUAUUUUUCAUUAAAACAUAUUUACUCCGUUAAGGCACAAGCCGUGUGCGCUCAUAGAUUACAAAUAAGGCACUUGAUGUUAGGCUUUUCAGGUAGCGUUCAUGAUGCACGUAUUUUUAAUAACAGCGAAUUGUCCAUUGAAGCACAUACAUUUUUUGGAGAAGGUGAAUGGAUUGCAGGUGACAGUGCAUAUAAAUUAUCGAGUACUGUUAUAACGCCAUUUAGAGAAUAUUCUAGAAAUUUAACACUAAGCCAAAGGAAUUCUUUUAACAAAACAUUCAGUCGAUAUAGAAUUCGAAUUGAACAUUGUUUUGGAAUGCUGAAGGAAAGAUUUGGUAGUUUAAAAGGUUUAAGGCUUCAAAUAAAAAAUGAAAAUGGUAUGAGAAAAGUUAACAAAUGGAUUCUCUGUUGUGUAUUGUUACACAACUUUAUACUCCAACAAGACGAUUAUUUCGAUUACCAACCUGAGAAAUCGGAGCACAGUAUUGAAGAGUCGUUAUGGGAACCAAAUGCUCGUACCAAUGAAGUGGAGAUAAGGCGACGACAAA